CCUACGGGUGGCAGCAGUGAGGAAUAUUGGUCAAUGGCCGUAAGGCUGAACCAGCCAAGUCGCGUGAAGGAAGAAGGAUCUAUGGUUUGUAAACUUCUUUUAUAGGGGAAUAAAGGUAUCCACGUGUGGAUAUUUGCAUGUACCCUAUGAAUAAGCAUCGGCUAACUCCGUGCCAUCAGCCGCGGUAAUACGGAGGAUGCGAGCGUUAUCCGGAUUUAUUGGGUUUAAAGGGUGCGUAGGUUGUUUUUUAAGUCAGCGGUGAAAGUUUUUGGCUCAACCAUAAAAUUGCCGUUGAAACUGGAAGACUUGAGUGUGUUUGAGGUAGGCGGAAUGCGUGGUGUAGCGGUGAAAUGCAUAGAUAUCACGCAGAACUCCGAUUGCGAAGGCAGCUUACUAAACUGCCACUGACAUUGAUGCUCGAAAGUGUGGGUAUCAAACAGGAUUAGAUACCCCAGUAGUC
This 460-nucleotide ribosomal RNA is filed under the name uncultured bacterium. RNAcentral describes it as "partial 16S ribosomal RNA". It matches the Rfam family "Bacterial small subunit ribosomal RNA", at positions 338 to 795 of the family's 1533-position model. The record is from RNAcentral.